RNAcentral lists this ribosomal RNA (475 nucleotides) under uncultured organism. RNAcentral describes it as "partial 16S ribosomal RNA". It matches the Rfam family "Bacterial small subunit ribosomal RNA", at positions 334 to 800 of the family's 1533-position model. The record is from RNAcentral.
CACUCCUGCGGGAGGCAGCAGUGGGGAAUUUUGGACAAUGGGCGAAAGCCUGAUCCAGCAAUGCCGCGUGAGUGAAGAAGGCCUUCGGGUUGUAAAGCUCUUUUGUCAGGGAAGAAACGGUGAAAGCUAAUAUCUUUUGCUAAUGACGGUACCUGAAGAAUAAGCACCGGCUAACUACGUGCCAGCAGCCGCGGUAAUACGUAGGGUGCAAGCGUUAAUCGGAAUUACUGGGCGUAAAGCGUGCGCAGGCGGUUUUGUAAGUCUGAUGUGAAAUCCCCGGGCUCAACCUGGGAAUUGCAUUGGAGACUGCAAGGCUUGAAUCUGGCAGAGGGGGGUAGAAUUCCACGUGUAGCAGUGAAAUGCGUAGAUAUGUGGAGGAACACCGAUGGCGAAGGCAGCCCCCUGGGUCAAGAUUGACGCUCAUGCACGAAAGCGUGGGGAGCAAACAGGAUUAGAAACCCUAGUAGUCCCAUGA